Molecule: ribosomal RNA, 244 nt
Filed under: uncultured Methanomicrobiales archaeon
Lineage: Archaea; Methanobacteriati; Methanobacteriota; Methanomicrobia; Methanomicrobiales
Description: partial 16S ribosomal RNA
Rfam family: Archaeal small subunit ribosomal RNA
Source: RNAcentral
ACUGUUGGGACCGCUCUAGCUAAAGAGGAGGAAGGAAUGGGCAACGGUAGGUCAGCAUGCCCCGAAUUAUCUGGGCUACACGCGGGCUACAAUGGGUGGGACAAUGGGUAUCGACACCGAAAGGUGAAGGCAAUCUCCUAAACCCAUCCUUAGUUCGGAUUGUGGGCUGCAACUCGCCCACAUGAAGCUGGAAUCUGUAGUAAUCGUGUUUCAAAAUAGCACGGUGAAUAUGUCCCUGCUCCUU